UACGUAGGGUCCAAGCGUUAUCCGGAUUCACUGGGUUUAAAGGGUGCGUAGGCGGUUCGGUAAGUCGGCGAUGAAAUGUCAGGGCUCAACCUUGGCGCUGUCGCCGAUACUGUCGGACUAGAGAGGGCAUGAGGUCUCCGGUAUGAGUGGUGUAGCGGUGAAAUGCGUAGAGAUCACUCAGAACACCGAUUGCGAAGGCAGGAGACUGGGGCCUUUCUGACGCUGAGGCACGAAAGCGUGGGGAUCAAACAGG
This 253-nucleotide ribosomal RNA is filed under the name uncultured bacterium. Its description in RNAcentral is "partial 16S ribosomal RNA". It matches the Rfam family "Bacterial small subunit ribosomal RNA", at positions 524 to 776 of the family's 1533-position model. The record is from RNAcentral.